This 250-nucleotide long non-coding RNA is filed under the name Cyanistes caeruleus (blue tit). RNAcentral describes it as "lncRNA (ENSCCEG00000019178.1)". Lineage: Eukaryota; Metazoa; Chordata; Aves; Passeriformes; Paridae. The record is from RNAcentral.
CGGAGAAUGAUUGCUACAGCAACAGCACGUCCAGCUGCAAAUACUCCAUGUACCAUUUUUGACUGGCACUCACAAAUCUGCUGCUCUGUACUUCCUCUCUUCUCCUACAUCUGCAAUGUCACAGAAUAAUCUCUAAAGAGAAGCAGGAGGUAAGCCAAUAACCAAGGAGCUCUGUUUUAAUAAUUCCUGCAGUAUCAUCCUUGUGUAUGCCUUCAGGUCUCCCUUAAGCAUGGAUAUCACCCUUGUCCAA